This 905-nucleotide ribosomal RNA is filed under the name Simplicillium sp. Its description in RNAcentral is "partial large subunit ribosomal RNA". It matches the Rfam family "Eukaryotic large subunit ribosomal RNA", at positions 47 to 982 of the family's 3401-position model. The record is from RNAcentral. Lineage: Eukaryota; Fungi; Ascomycota; Sordariomycetes; Hypocreales; Cordycipitaceae.
UAGGGGGGGGGAAGACCAACAGGGAUUGCCCCAGUAACGGCGAGUGAAGCGGCAACAGCUCAAAUUUGAAAUCUGGCUCCUAGAGCCCGAGUUGUAAUUUGUAGAGGAUGCUUUUGAUGCGGUGCCUUCCGAGUUCCCUGGAACGGGACGCCAUAGAGGGUGAGAGCCCCGUCUGGUCGGAUGCCAAAUCUCUGUAAAGCUCCUUCGACGAGUCGAGUAGUUUGGGAAUGCUGCUCAAAAUGGGAGGUAUAUGUCUUCUAAAGCUAAAUAUUGGCCAGAGACCGAUAGCGCACAAGUAGAGUGAUCGAAAGAUGAAAAGCACUUUGAAAAGAGGGUUAAAUAGUACGUGAAAUUGUUGAAAGGGAAGCGCCUAUGACCAGACUUGGGCCCGGUGAAUCAUCCAGCGUUCUCGCUGGUGCACUUUGCCGGGCACAGGCCAGCAUCAGUUUGUCUUGGGGGAAAAAGGCUUUGGGAACGUGGCUCCUUCGGGAGUGUUAUAGACCAUUGCAUAAUACCCUGGGACGGACUGAGGUUCGCGCAUCUGCAAGGAUGCUGGCGUAAUGGUCAUCAGCGACCCGUCUUGAAACACGGACCAAGGAGUCGUCUUCGUAUGCGAGUGUUCGGGUGUAAAACCCCUACGCGUAAUGAAAGUGAACGCAGGUGAGAGCUUCGGCGCAUCAUCGACCGAUCCUGAUGUUCUCGGAUGGAUUUGAGUAAGAGCAUACGGGGCCGGACCCGAAAGAAGGUGAACUAUUCCUGUAUAGGGUGAAGCCAGAGGAAACUCUGGUGGAGGCUCGCAGCGGUUCUGACGUGCGAAUCGAUCGUCAAAUAUGGGAAUGGGGGCGAAAGACUAAUCGAACCUUCUAGUAGCUGGUUUCCGCGUUUUUCUCUCUCUCUUGGAGAAA